This 160-nucleotide small nuclear RNA is filed under the name Macaca fascicularis (crab-eating macaque). RNAcentral describes it as "U2 spliceosomal RNA (ENSMFAG00000051729.1)". It matches the Rfam family "U2 spliceosomal RNA". From Rfam's summary of the family: U2 is a small nuclear RNA (snRNA) component of the spliceosome (involved in pre-mRNA splicing). Complementary binding between U2 snRNA (in an area lying towards the 5' end but 3' to hairpin I) and the branchpoint sequence (BPS) of the intron results the bulging out of an unpaired adenosine, on the BPS, which initiates a nucleophilic attack at the intronic 5' splice site, thus starting the first of two transesterification reactions that mediate splicing. The record is from Rfam by way of RNAcentral. RNAcentral also lists the same sequence under 1 other name. Lineage: Eukaryota; Metazoa; Chordata; Mammalia; Primates; Cercopithecidae.
AUCACUCCUCAGCCUUUUGGCUAAGAUCAAGUGCAGUAUUUGUUUUUAUCAGUUUAAAGCACAUAACUGGAAAAUCUCCAACAUCAGAAAUUAGGGGCUAAUGAUACAUAUGCAAAUAGAAAAAUGGAUACAAAUUAAAUGCAAAGCUAAAUGAUUCUUU